This 497-nucleotide ribosomal RNA is filed under the name uncultured bacterium. Its description in RNAcentral is "partial 16S ribosomal RNA". It matches the Rfam family "Bacterial small subunit ribosomal RNA", at positions 28 to 507 of the family's 1533-position model. The record is from RNAcentral.
GAUGAACGCUGGCGGCGUGCCUAAUACAUGCAAGUCGAGCGAACAGACGAGGAGCUUUCGCCCCUGACGUUAGCGGCGGACGGGUGAGUAACACGUGGAUAACCUACCUAUAAGACUGGGAUAACUUCGGAAAACCGGAGCUAAUACCGGAUAAUAUAUUGAACCGCUUGGUUCAAUAGUGAAACACGGUUUUGCUGUCACUUAUAGAUGGAUCCGCGCCGCAUUAGCUACUUGGUAAGGUAACGGCUUACCAAGGCAACGAUGCGUAGCCGACCUGAGAGGGUGAUAGGCCACACUGGAACUGGGACACGGUCCAGACUCCUACGGGAGGCAGCAGUAGGGAAUCUUGCGCAAUGGGCGAAAGCCUGACGGAGCAACGCGGCGUGAGUGAUGAAGGUCUUCGGAUCGUAAAACUCUGUUAUUAGGGAAGAACAAAUGUGUAAGUAACUAUGCACGUCUUGACGGUACCUAAUCAGAAAGCCACGGCUAACUACGUG